This 248-nucleotide unclassified non-coding RNA is filed under the name Hevea brasiliensis (rubber tree). The record is from RNAcentral. Lineage: Eukaryota; Viridiplantae; Streptophyta; Magnoliopsida; Malpighiales; Euphorbiaceae.
CACAUCCAAUAUAUAUUAUAUUCUGUACAUAAAAUAUCAAAGUACACCAAAUAUAUAUUAUAUGCUGUACAUAAUAUAUUAAAGUUGCCCAUAUAUACAUUAUAUAGUGUACAUAAAAUAUGAACGUACAUCAAAUAUAUAGUAUAUGCUGCACAUAAAAUAUCAAAGUACCCAAAUUAUGUAUUAUAUACUGUACGUAAAAUAUCAGAGUACCCAAAAUAUGCAUUAUAUACUGUACAUAAAAUAUG